This 449-nucleotide ribosomal RNA is filed under the name uncultured prokaryote. RNAcentral describes it as "bacterial SSU rRNA". It matches the Rfam family "Bacterial small subunit ribosomal RNA", at positions 355 to 796 of the family's 1533-position model. The record is from RNAcentral.
UGGGGAAUAUUGGACAAUGGGCGCAAGCCUGAUCCAGCAAUGCCGCGUGUGUGAAGAAGGCUCUAGGGUUGUAAAGCACUUUCAGUGGGGAAGAAAUACGAGAGGUUAAUACCCUCUCGGAAUGACGUUACCCACAGAAGAAGCACCGGCUAACUCCGUGCCAGCAGCCGCGGUAUUACGGAGGGUGCGCGCGUUAAUCGGAAUUACUGGGCGUAAAGGGCGCGUAGGCGGUAUGAUUAGUCGGGUGUGAAAGCCCCGAGCUCAACUCGGGAACUGCAUUCGAAACUGUCAGGCUAGAGUGUGGUAGAGGGAAGCGGAAUUCCAUGUGUAGCGGUGAAAUGCGUAGAUAUCUGGAGGAACAUCAGUGGCGAAGGCGGCUUCCUGGACCAACACUGACGCUGAGGCGCGAAAGCGUGGGGAGCAAACAGGAUUAGAUACCCGGGUAGGCC